ACGAAGCCACGCCGGUAUACCGGUACCGCACAAUGC
RNAcentral lists this small RNA (36 nucleotides) under Bombyx mori (domestic silkworm). Its description in RNAcentral is "ovarian small RNA-11411". The record is from RNAcentral. Lineage: Eukaryota; Metazoa; Arthropoda; Insecta; Lepidoptera; Bombycidae.